AACGAACGCUGGCGGCGCGCCUAAUACAUGCAAGUCGAGCGAGAAGACGUAGCAAUACGUUUGUAAAGCGGCGAACGGGUGAGGAAUACAUGGGUAACCUACCCUCGAGUGGGGAAUAACUAGCCGAAAGGUUAGCUAAUACCGCGUGCGCUCCUUGGACUUCGGUUCAGGGAGGAAAGCGAUACCGUGGGUAUCGCGCUCUUGGAUGGGCUCAUGUCCUAUCAGCUUGNGGUGAGGUAACGGCUCACCAAGGCUUCGACGGGUAGCUGGUCUGAGAGGACGAUCAGCCACACUGGCACUGCGACACGGGCCAGACUCCUACGGGAGGCAGCAGUAAGGAAUAUUGCGCAAUGGGCGAAAGCCUGACGCAGCGACGCCGCGUGGGGGA
Molecule: ribosomal RNA, 388 nt
Filed under: uncultured bacterium
Lineage: Bacteria
Description: bacterial SSU rRNA
Rfam family: Bacterial small subunit ribosomal RNA
Source: RNAcentral